RNAcentral lists this long non-coding RNA (588 nucleotides) under Ananas comosus (pineapple). RNAcentral's name for it is "long non-coding RNA (ACOM_LNC022783)". The record is from RNAcentral. Lineage: Eukaryota; Viridiplantae; Streptophyta; Magnoliopsida; Poales; Bromeliaceae.
AAUAAAUUAAGUAGUAAACUAUGUCCUUAAAAAAGAAUAAAAAAUACCGACUGUGUCUGACACAAAUGACAAAGAAUUUUGUGAUUGGUAUUCAAGAUCCCAAGUUCGAAUCCUAAUUGAUUUAUAUUUCCAGCUAAAUUUAUUAAAAAAAAAAUAAACGAAACGGCAACAUAUUAUCUAUCUCUCUCAAAAAAAAAUUUGCAAAUAAAUGUUAAUUAUCACUCUUUUUACUCUUUUAUCAAUUAAAUUUUAAUUUGAGUUUACUACUGGCAAAGUUGAAAAACGAAAUAUUUUAAAAUUUUAAAUUUGAAAUUUGCCUCGUGGUAGGUCGCGCGGAAAACUCUCCAGCUUGGCCUGUUGACCAAUCAAUAUUGAAUUAUUAAUUUUGCCCCCCACAUACAUUAUUUUAAUGUCAGUAUCAUUCUACCUACCGUUCUUAGCUAGCGCAAGUGAUAAAGAAUUUGAUGAUUAGUAUUCGAGAGUUCAAACUGAAAAUCUAGUGCUUCAUAUUUUUCAUUAAAUUUAUUUUUAAAAAAUAUAAACAAAACAGAUAAUAUUCCAUCUAUCUUUUUUUUUAAUUAAUAUUAU